This 160-nucleotide non-coding RNA is filed under the name bovine gut metagenome. RNAcentral's name for it is "Lysine riboswitch". It matches the Rfam family "Lysine riboswitch aptamer". Rfam says of the family: Riboswitches are metabolite binding domains within certain messenger RNAs that serve as precision sensors for their corresponding targets. Allosteric rearrangement of mRNA structure is mediated by ligand binding, and this results in modulation of gene expression. This family includes riboswitches that sense lysine in a number of genes involved in lysine metabolism, including lysC. The record is from RNAcentral.
UGAUAGAGGCGCAGCCGUCAUCAGUACCCGCGCAAAACCGGCAGGAACCGGGCGGGGAAAGGGGCGUUUGCCGAAGGACGCGGUGAUAUUCCUGCAUGCCGCGGCCCUGGGCCGUCGGAGAACAUCCGCCGGACUGUCGCGUUUUACGCGGAGCGCUGUC